GACGAACGCUGGCGGCGUGCUUAACACAUGCAAGUCGAACGAUGAACCCGGAGCUUGCUCCGGUGGAUUAGUGGCGAACGGGUGAGUAACACGUGAGUAACCUGCCCUUGACUCUGGGAUAACUGCGGGAAACUGUAGCUAAUACCGGAUACGACCCUCGGCGGCAUCGCCAGGGGGUGGAAAGAAUUUCGGUGUGGGAUGGGCCCGCGGCCUAUCAGCUUGUUGGUGGGGUGAUGGCCUACCAAGGCGACGACGGGUAGCCGGCCUGAGAGGGUGACCGGCCACACUGGGACUGAGAUACGGCCCAGACUCCUACGGGAGGCAGCAGUGGGGAAUAUUGCACAAUGGGCGCAAGCCUGAUGCAGCGACGCCGCGUGAGGGAUGACGGCCUUCGGGUUGUAAACCUCUUUCAGCACCGACGAAGCGCAAGUGACGGUAGGUGCAGAAGAAGGACCGGCCAACUACGUGCCAGCAGCCGCCGUAA
This 484-nucleotide ribosomal RNA is filed under the name uncultured bacterium. RNAcentral's name for it is "partial 16S ribosomal RNA". It matches the Rfam family "Bacterial small subunit ribosomal RNA", at positions 28 to 523 of the family's 1533-position model. The record is from RNAcentral.